AUCCGAAUCUAUCAUUUCAUUUCAUCAUCCACCAUCAAAAUUCAUCACCUUUCCCAAUCGGACCUAUCCUAGAAAACCGGACCUAACUCCGAACCAGAAAACCCUAAAUGCGUUAAACCCAAACCAACAAAACAAACACACAACUUCACUAACACUCUCAACUCCUCCAAUGGCGUCGCAAAUGGCGAUCCUAAAUCGAACACGUUCUCUCCUAACAAAAACCAGCCACAUCACAAUCAAAACCAUAACAACAUUCCCAUUCCAUUCUCAAGAAGCCGAACUAGCAGAACCAACGCCGAACCAAUCAACACCAGCUUCGUCUCUUCCUCCGAAUCCAGCUUCGGGAAGUCCACUCUACAACGAGAAUUGGCGAAAUCCGAUUCCGAAAUCCUCAUCCAACAACGCGGUAACACCUUUCGGACUCUUCACGCGCGCUUCAGUUAAAGAUACUUAUGAUUCCCACGCGCUUCUUGAUAUGUUCGGUGAUUGGAUGGCUUCGCAACGAUGGCAAGAUGUGAAGGAUUUGUUUGAAGAUUGGGUUAGGUCUUUGGAUAAAAAUGGGAAGCCUAAUAAACCUGAUGUUAAUCUUUUUAAUCAUUAUAUUAGGGCUAAUCUAAUGAUUGGUGGUUCUGCUGCUGAUUUGCUUGAUUUAUUAGCUCAGAUGGAACAUUUCAAUGUUUCGCCUAAUACGGCGUCGUUUAAUUUGGUUCUUAAGGCUAUGCAUCAAGCUGGCGAGACUCUUGCUGCUGAGAAACUCGUUGAACGGAUGCUGCAGUCAGGAAAUGAGGCUCUCCCUGAUGACGAAUCAUAUGACUUGGUCAUUGGAAUGUUCUUUUCAACAGAUCAGAUUGAUGCUGCAUUCAAAUAUAUAGAUUUAACUCUGAAACAUGGUAACGUGUUGUCAAUGAAUACAUUUAUGAAUUGUGUGAGGAGUUGUGUCAAACAGAGAAGACUUGAUACGUUGGUGGCAAUAAUUGAAAAGUGCAGGGAAACAGAUAAAAACAAAUCCCUUUGCCCUUCCUGGAACUUGUGCAAUUUUAUUGCUGAAGUUGCAAUCCGAGAGGAUAAUAGUAAGUUAGCCUAUUACGGCCUGGAGUUUAUGGCUAGAUGGAUGGUAAAUGGUGAACGUGCAAGACCUCCUGUGUUGCUUUCAGUAGAUGAAGGUUUAGUUGUGUCAGCUAUGUUGACUGCAGGUAGAACCUAUAAUUCUGAGCUGCUAGGGGCAGCCUGGUCUGUGUUGGGCCGCUCAUUGCGUAAAAAGAAGGUUCCUAAUCCAGAAUCUUAUCUUGGAAAGAUAUCUGCCCUUGCAUCACUGGGGAAUCUACAAAAGGCAUUUGGUACUCUCCAUGAAUAUGAGAUAUCUUAUGGAGAUUCCAAUCAAGAAGCUAAUGACUUGUUCUGCCCAUUUACUUCUUUACAUCCAUUGGUUGUGGCAUGCUCCAAGAAGGGGUUUGAGACUUUGGAUUCUGUUUAUUUUCAACUGGAGAGUUUAAGCCGUGCUGAGCGUCCAUACAAGUCUGUUGCCGCACUAAACUGCAUCAUUUUAGGAUGUGCGAACAUAUGGGAUCUUGAUCGAGCUUACCAAACUUUUGAAUCAAUUGGAUCUGCUUUUGGGUUGACCCCUGAUAUUCAUUCAUACAAUGGGCUGAUGUAUGCCUUUGGGAAGCUCAAGAAGACACAUGAAGCUUCAAAGGUGUUUGAACACCUAGUAAGUUUGGGCGUCAAGCCUAAUGCAAAGUCGUAUUCCCUGCUUGUUGAUGCCCACCUGAUUAACCGAGAUGUCAAAUCUGCUCUAGCAGUGAUUGAUGAUAUGAUAGCUGCUGGAUUCAAACCGUUGAAAGCGACUCUACAAAAUGUCAGAAGGCGUUGUGUACGAGAGAUUGACAACGAUAGCGAUCAACGGGUUGACUCACUUGCUCAAUCUUUGAAUAUACGUAUGGCUUCAGAUGCCCGGCGAAACAUGCUGUUUAAUCUUAAUUACAGUAUGGAUAUGGCUUGAAUGGAUUGACUGCUUUGAAGGGGUACUUGAAUUAUUUUGUUUGUAACCCCUGAUUUCUGUGGCAUUAGAAGGUGCACUUGUCUUUGAGGUUGAAAUGAACCAUUUAUAAGCCAGUUGUUAUUCUUUUAUUGCGUCCAUUUCCGAGAGAAUCCCUGUAUGUAUAUUGGUGGAUGAUCCUGAUGUUUGUCGAGCCAUGGCAGAUUGUUGCACAAGGAACUUUCGUUUCUGUAUUUAUGUGUUUAUGAAGCGGGGAAGGGUGUUGAAGAUGCAAUUUGCUUUUUUUUAAGGAUAUCUGAGCAGUGAUCUUCCUAGUAUAAGUUUUUGUUUUUUGAAAUAAUUAUAGGACAGAUCCCAAUUCAGUAGGAUAGAAGAUACUAAGGAAGACAUUUCUUUCGUGGUUCUUAAUUUUUUGGCCUUUUGCACUACUUCUUUCUCUGACAACCCAGUACUAGGUACUUCCAACGACUAGAAGCUGCAAGGAUUUGAAAACCUUGUAAAAGAAUUGCAAUCCUAAUUGUUUGGACCUGUGGUUCCAUUUAUUUCUAUUGCAAAUAAUGGCAACAUUUUAAUUUGGUGCUCGAAAAA
This is an RNA transcript of Cicer arietinum (chickpea), 2584 nucleotides long. It is a transcript of the gene named pentatricopeptide repeat-containing protein At1g26460, mitochondrial, with no coding region annotated. The record is from RefSeq and is a predicted model, not a curated record. Lineage: Eukaryota; Viridiplantae; Streptophyta; Magnoliopsida; Fabales; Fabaceae.